This is a long non-coding RNA of Pieris brassicae (large cabbage white), 840 nucleotides long. RefSeq lists it as uncharacterized. NCBI's taxonomy places the organism in Eukaryota, Metazoa, Arthropoda, Insecta, Lepidoptera, Pieridae. The record is from RefSeq and is a predicted model, not a curated record. The transcript is spliced from 6 exons.
AUUAUUUGUCAAAUAUAUUUUGUAAUUGCGUGUUACUUACCAAUUUGUGUGAAAAGUUUUAAUAAAUGUAUCUCAUGAACCGUAAGUUUGCGCAACCUAAAUCUUUGCAAAACUCUUUCUUUUAUGUUAAAGUUUGGGCUAAAUUUUGUUUUCCUAAUGGUGAUGGGACAUCCAUUGAAUCAUUAAAAACAGUGAAUGCCCAGAAUAGGAUACUAUGUGAAAAUCAUUUGAAUGAAUCUUCAUUUACCAGCAGCGAUAGGAAAAGACUUAACAAGUUAGAUUAAGAGUGAAUAGAGGAGGAUAUAGACCAAUUAAAAAACAAACAUUGUAGUCCAUAUAGAGCAAGUUAUGACAUCCAAGAACCAUCAACUAGCAAAGGUAUUUUGUAGGACUUGGACGUGAAAAAGUUCAGUGAACUUACACCUCAAAAGCAAACACUGUCUAAGAGAUGCAGAAAAAAUCUAUCUGAAAUAGUGAGGCUCUGAAAAAAGUUUCAAGGAGAUUGUGACACAGCAGACAAGUCAGCAGCUCUUGUCGAGGAGGUACAGUAAAGUGGAGCCACAUAGAGGAGUUUUAUAAUAAAGAUCGCGAGAAUCCCAACCGUGUUUGCUCCAGCUUUAACCCAGCACCACUUACAACCAGUACAGAAUGGCAAAAAGAAAAUCAAAGAGCGCCUAGCAGAUCAAAUUUUAAGCCAUUCGGUUGCAGUUGGAAUAUUUGCCAAAAUGAAUGAUGACAAGACGCCCCUGGAACAACUGUCGCUGGACAAGCUUUUCGACUGAACGGAGAUUCGACCGACAGGAAAGAGGUAUAAACACUUAUUAUAAUAAUACUUGACAU